Molecule: ribosomal RNA, 283 nt
Filed under: Staphylococcus aureus
Lineage: Bacteria; Bacillati; Bacillota; Bacilli; Caryophanales; Staphylococcaceae
Description: partial 23S ribosomal RNA
Rfam family: Bacterial large subunit ribosomal RNA
Source: RNAcentral
AUGUUCCCUCAGACUGGUUGGAAAUCAGUCAUUGAGUGUAAAGGCAUAAGGGAGCUUGACUGCGAGACCUACAAGUCGAGCAGGGUCGUAAGACGGACUUAGUGAUCCGGUGGUUCCGCAUGGAAGGGCCAUCGCUCAACGGAUAAAAGCUACCCCGGUGAUAACAGGCUUAUCUCCCCCAAGAGUUCACAUCGACGGGGAGGUUUGGCACCUCGAUGUCGGCUCUUCGCAUCCUGGGGCUGUAGUCGGUCCCAAGGGUUGGGCUGUUCGCCCAUUAAAGCGG